GAUGAACGCUGGCGGCGUGCCUAAUACAUGCAAGUCGAGCGAACGGACGAGAAGCUUGCUGCUCUGAUGUUAGCGGCGGACGGGUGAGUAACACGUGUAUAACCUACCUAUAUGACUGGUAUAACUUCGGGAAACCGGAGCUAAUACCGGAUAAUAUUUUGAACCGCAUGGUUCAAAAGUGAAAGACGGUCUUGCUGUCACUUAUAGAUGGAUCCUCGCUGCAUUAGCUAGUUGGUAAGGUAACGGGUUAUCAAGGCAACGAUGCGUAGCCGACCUGAGAGAGUGAUCGGCGACAUGGUAAGGUAGACGGGGACCAGAGGACUGAGGGAGGGAGCAGAAGGGUAUCUGCCGCAGUGGGCGAAAGCCUUACGGAGUAACGGGGCGCGAGAGAUGACGGUGUUGGGAUCGUAAAACUCUGUUAUUGGUGAAGAACAUAUGUGUAAGUAACUGUGCAGUGCGUGACGGUACCUAAUCAGAAAGCCACGGCUAACUACGUG
This 497-nucleotide ribosomal RNA is filed under the name uncultured bacterium. RNAcentral describes it as "partial 16S ribosomal RNA". It matches the Rfam family "Bacterial small subunit ribosomal RNA", at positions 28 to 507 of the family's 1533-position model. The record is from RNAcentral.